AAAUAGAUACCCGGGUAGUCCACGCCGUAAACGAUGAGUGCUAAGUGUUGGGGGGUUUCCCGCCCCUCAGUGCUGCAGCUAACGCAUUAAGCACUCCGCCUGGGGAGUACGGUCGCAAGACUGAAACUCAAAGGAAUUGACGGGGGCCCGCACAAGCGGUGGAGCAUGUGGUUUAAUUCGAAGCAACGCGAAGAACCUUACCAGGUCUUGACAUCCCGGUGACCACUAUGGAGACAUAGUUUCCCCUUCGGGGGCAACGGUGACAGGUGGUGCAUGGUUGUCGUCAGCUCGUGUCGUGAGAUGUUGGGUUAAGUCCCGCAACGAGCGCAACCCUUAUUCUUAGUUGCCAUCAUUCAGUUGGGCACUCUAAGGAGACUGCCGGUGAUAAACCGGAGGAAGGUGGGGAUGACGUCAAAUCAUCAUGCCCCUUAUGACCUGGGCUACACACGUGCUACAAUGGACGGUACAAACGGUUGCCAACCCGCGAGGGGGAGCUAAUCCGAUAAAACCGUUCUCAGUUCGGAUUGUAGGCUGCAACUCGCCUACAUGAAC
RNAcentral lists this ribosomal RNA (552 nucleotides) under uncultured bacterium. RNAcentral describes it as "bacterial SSU rRNA". It matches the Rfam family "Bacterial small subunit ribosomal RNA", at positions 776 to 1325 of the family's 1533-position model. The record is from RNAcentral.